UGAGAUCAUCACCAUAAGCACA
This 22-nucleotide microRNA is filed under the name Heligmosomoides polygyrus. RNAcentral describes it as "hpo-miR-10021-5p". Lineage: Eukaryota; Metazoa; Nematoda; Chromadorea; Rhabditida; Heligmosomidae. The record is from miRBase by way of RNAcentral.